UGGGAUAUGGAUAGUAAAACGGUAGC
This 26-nucleotide non-coding RNA is filed under the name Rattus norvegicus (Norway rat). Lineage: Eukaryota; Metazoa; Chordata; Mammalia; Rodentia; Muridae. The record is from RNAcentral.